This 2054-nucleotide long non-coding RNA is filed under the name Phasianus colchicus (ring-necked pheasant). RNAcentral describes it as "lncRNA (ENSPCLG00000019583.1)". Lineage: Eukaryota; Metazoa; Chordata; Aves; Galliformes; Phasianidae. The record is from RNAcentral.
ACUGGAGCUGAAUUGCGCCUUGCUAUCCUUACUCAAGGUUGCAUAUAUUGAUGGUGAAAAGGAAGAGUUUUCUUAUUACAGUCUAUCCAUGGAAACUUCUUAAAGAAAGAGAAAUUGAUUUUGUAGAUCAGAUUUUACCACCCCAGGAGCUGAACUGAGUCCAGGCUCACUGCAAAGGAAUCACAAUUAAGAGAAAGUAGUACUAAUAGUAAAAAUAAAUAUUAGAUUAGGUAUUUUCUAGAGGUAAAGCUUCAGCAGUUGAAAAGGGAGGUAAGAACAUGCAUAAUACCAGGUAAAGGAGAUCGUUCCCAGAAAAGAAAGAUUAUUUUUAAAUGUGCCUCCAAAUAACCCUGUUAUAUUAUUAACACAUCCUUUCAACUUGGGUCAUGGCUGAAUAAAGCUUCCUACACAGGUUGUCCUAUAGAUACAAACUCUAAGUCACAUAAAAGCAAUCCAAUCCUAUUUGCAUUGUCAGUCUAUGAUACAAAAUGCUGCAAUGACCUCUUUUUUUAAGUCCAGUGCUAUCUAUAAAAUAGGCUUAGGCCUUUUUGUUCUUAAAGAGGUCAGCUGUUGCUUUGCUUUCUUAAUGAGCUUCAGACAUUCCCAGAGAGCUUUCUAAUAUUGCAGACAUACCCAGCCCCAGGCAAGACACUCGCAGCCUCUGCCAACACCUAAGCUUUGCAGACAGAUCACAUGUGACAGGUUAUGCAACUCAGCUGGGCUUUAUAUAUGAGUACGAUGUUAGCAUUCAAGGAACCUACAGGGAAAAGAGCACCAGGGAGUGAAAUUCAACAAAGACUUAGAAAUAAUGGUUAUCCCUCUGCGGAGAAUGACACCUGGGUAUAUAAGGUUGCUGCAGACUCAAGCUGCAGGAAAAAUAGUUAUCAACUCAUCAGACGUACUGCUGCAACGGGCAGCCUUGCUCCUGGGCACGCUUGGGAUCAGUCUCUCCAGCUACAGCACACACCAGCUGGCUCAACAGAAGAGACUUUCCGUGACCCGUUAAGCUGUGCUGAGAUGUGAUCUGAGAAGUAAAUGCUUGUGUCAGUAAUGCUGACAAGAAACUUUUCUGUCUCCGUUGCUGGUGUGGAGGUAAUGAGACACGUUACAGCCUCGAUUUCUACAUGCAGAGUUAAAAAGAUGAAAGAAUACAGACUUCUUCAGGGAAGAAAAAAGCAUCAUGACUAAUGGAAAUCACAUUUCCAGGAACUUGUAAAUACAGUGGAUCUUGGUGGUCUCGUGAGGUCCCUUCCAACCCCUGCAAUUCUGUGAUUCCGUGAUUUUGUUUGUUAUCCAGUGUAUACAUAGAGAGACAUCCAAAUCAGAGUAGAUAUAAACAGAAGGAUGAGGGUGCCAUGCUUAUUUAGCAUCACCUUGCUACAGCUUUUGCAAAUUGACUCCUAUCCAAAGACUGGUUUUGAAAAGGAAAGUCGGAAACAAUACAUUCCUCAUAAGAGUCAAACUGGAUAAAGAGAAUCUUUCAUAGGCUGUUUGUACAUUUAUAUCUAACUAGAAAUACACAUCUGUGUGAGGAAUCGUGCACUCUAACUGUUAAUAUUGAAUCUUAAACUUUUUAAAAUACCUUUUGUAUAGAAAUGUGUGUGUGUUGUAGCACAUGCUGAUUUCUUUGUGCAACAGCAGAGAUGGCUGAAGGCUCUGCCAUCACUACACUGCUGGAAAGGAACCGUGACAGCAGUCCAGAUGACUUUGUAAUCCUGUACAGAAACACUCUACUCUAGAAAGGAUCAGUAAAAAUUUGGGGCUGAGUUUUCUUGUAGAGCUAAACAUCUGAUUGUAUUCCUCUGCAGAAACCCCUCAUCUCAAAAUAUACGUGCUGAUUAAAAUAGAGAUUGACCUUCCUUCCUUUUCCCCUGUUUUCUUGUUCUUCUUACUCAGUAUAAUAGCUUAUUCAGGAAUGUUCUGUUACUUUUGGAUAGCAUUUUUCCAACUGUUUCCAAUGCUCUGUGUAAACAUGGCUUUGUAGACUCUUGCAUGCAUAUGUUACUGUUUGAUAUCCUUUGUUCUCACUUAAUAAAUGCAAAUAUAUUUUUUCA